Small nuclear RNA from Suncus etruscus (white-toothed pygmy shrew), 164 nucleotides. RefSeq annotates it as U1 spliceosomal RNA. Lineage: Eukaryota; Metazoa; Chordata; Mammalia; Eulipotyphla; Soricidae. The transcript has a single exon. The record is from RefSeq and is a predicted model, not a curated record.
AUACUUACCCUGAAGAGAAGUUACCAUGAUUAAGAAGAUGGUUUUCUCAGGGCACGAUUUAGCCAUUGCAAUGCAGAUGUGCUGACCCCUGCGACUUAAUCAAAUGUGGGAAACUCGACUGCAUAAUUUAAGGUAGUGGGGGACUGUGUUCCCGCUCUCCCUAA